Molecule: small nucleolar RNA, 88 nt
Filed under: Nannospalax galili (Upper Galilee mountains blind mole rat)
Lineage: Eukaryota; Metazoa; Chordata; Mammalia; Rodentia; Spalacidae
Description: Small nucleolar RNA SNORA63 (ENSNGAG00000004756.1)
Source: RNAcentral
AUGCUUCCUUGCUCAAAACAAUGUUGUUUCUUAACUAUACCUGUCUGCUAGAUACCUGCAGCAGCCAGGGAUGCUUAGUUUCAUACAU